Long non-coding RNA from Gopherus evgoodei (Goodes thornscrub tortoise), 3008 nucleotides. RefSeq lists it as uncharacterized. The transcript is spliced from 6 exons. Lineage: Eukaryota; Metazoa; Chordata; Testudines; Testudinidae. The record is from RefSeq and is a predicted model, not a curated record.
UUGCACAUGGGAAUUCUGGGGCUUGGGCAGGGGUGGGGCCAGGAGAGCCACUAUUAUGUGGAUCCUACAGUCCCUGCCUCCCCACACUGAGGCCAAGGAGCCCAAUGUAGCCCAUAGGUUCAAGUAGGUUCCAUGGAGCUCUCCUCUUGCUUCCAGAUGGCUCGAUGGCAGAAUUCUUCUCCCACUUAAUUCUAGUGCUCAGCUCAGAAGGGAUUUGUGUCCUGUGUACACCAUUUAGACACACAAAUCCUGGUGUUUGAAAUUCCCUCCCGCUCUGUAUCACACAGAGGAGUGCUGGUAAGAGACUGCUUUUCAUUUCCUGGCUCCACUUACCUAAUGCAGGACAGGGUUGCAAAAAGUUAAUAGUGAUGGCAAGUGUCAGUGUCUAUCUAUCCCAUUGGCUACUGUUAUAUCCUCCAACCAAAACUGAACAAGCAUAAACUAGUAGAACCAGAUAACGAAACAUCCUCCAGUGGCUGUUUUGUGUGGAGCAAGGCAGGAGCCGAACUCAUUCCCUCAAUAAGUGGUUUAGGCACCUAAGCUGCAUGAGUCCAGGUGAAAGGUUUCCAUUAGUGGAUCACUAAGGUGACACAGGCAUAUGCCUAUAGUCUGGAUUUAGGCACCUAUCUCAGAGAGAGGAGUGGAGUUUAGCACUUACCCCUGUUGUCAGCAUCUCCCAUUGGCUAGUUUAGCCAGGGAGCUGCCUAGCUUUUGUGGAUCCCAUUCUAAGGCACCUGUCUCUUCCCAGUCAUUGUAUAGGGAAAUUAUGUGCCUAACUCAGGCUUUGUGGAUUGCAGGAUUAUUCGAGAGAUUUUCUAGGUGCUUAAAAGGUAGGUGCCAUGAUGCUGAGCCUUGCAACAUCUAAGUGCCUUUGUGGCUCUUGUGCCUAAAUACCUUGGGAAGCCUGGAAACCUCAGAAACUGCAUAUUCACUAUACACCUUCUUGUGGGGAGGAUCUUACCCCUGUCAUGUGACUGGCCAACUCAUUGGGCUGGUGAAUAGAGACAAAGAGAGUCCUGGCUCCACGUACUUACCAACCAUUACUAUUUGUAGAGUCUUGUGUUCCUAAGGGAAGCGGGAGGGAGGGAGCAGCCUCUGAGUGGCACCAAUUCUGCCUGAUUAUAUGCAUGUUUGGCAAAGGGUAGGAAGGCUCCUUCUUUCUUUCACCGCUGUGCACCCAAGUAAUGGCUCUGCAGAAUGUGACCCAAUAGGAGCAGCCAAACAUUCACAAGCAGGUCAAAAGCAACAAACAAGGGUGCUGCAGUAACACUGAGGAAAUAUCAACAAGGGCACAGAUUGAACUUCUCAGAAGAGGUAACUAUUAUCAGUGAGGGUGAGGAAAAAGAAUUUUAAAAAUCCUCCAAAAUAUUCCUAAAACAAACCUGAAAGGAAGAUGAUACAUUAAAAAUAAAACGAAAUCAUUCAUAGAACAAUGUAUGAUAUAUGGUAUCUAGAGUUAUUUUAAUCUAUUACAAUUAUUGCACACUAACUUUUAUAAUACCUUAUUUUCUUUCUUCCGUGGUGUAUUGGAGAGGAAGUUGAGAUGUAGACCAGAUGAUCAUGCUAUGGCCUUGCCUGGAACAAUGGUGCUGGGGCCUAUAGGUGCUACUGCAAGGGCUGUAAACCAGGGGAUCUCAAGGCAACCAAGGCCUUGCCUCGAGCGAAUCCAAAACAAACCAAAGGGCUGAGAAGAACAGACCAGGAGAGGAGAAGCCAUCUAUAAAAUUGAAAGUUGAGUACAGUGUUUGUUCAUGGCAGCAACAGUGGACAGUGAAAGAAAAACAUGAAAGGGAUACAAAUUAUGUUAACACAUGAGUCAUCAGUAAAAGGAACCUCCACAUAUUAAAGAAAUCAAGGAAAUCUCUUCAAAAAAGGGGGAGGGUAACCAAAACCUCCAAAAGCCUUUAGAAUGACACAUUGGUCAUUACAUCUUCGUUUUCAAAAAAGGAGUCAUUUGAGAGAGAAUUCUUCAGAUUCCAGAGGGACAAGACACUAUCAGAUGUGACUAUCAGGAAUGUAACAAAAAUACCAGAGCCUUUGCAGAGAUAUAUUUUGGGAUUCAGAGGCAGCAAGAAAAAGAACUCAAUAAGUAGAGUUUAUCACAGAUUAGAAGAACUUCACUGGCGGAAGGAACUGUGGAGCAAGAGAGCAAUAUAAAGUGGAACAAAAGCUGAUGAAUCACUGUCAUUUGUAUUGGUAAAAAAAGCAAUAGAAGAUCCCUCAAUGUCAGCAUUAGAUAUGAAACAUGUUCUUUGCUAUAUUAAAUUGCAUUUUGUUGAAACAGCCAAGAUCAUCAAUGAAAAUGUUGACUAUUGUCAGGCAGAGUGCUGAACCCGUCCAGGAACACCCCCAUUCAAUGAUGAGUCUCCAUGCACAACGACUCUUUGAAAUCUGUCAGAUAGGCAGUUCUUAAUUCAUUUAAUGUGUGCUUUAUUGAUACAGUACAGUGUUAAUUUUUAAUUAGAAUGCUCUACAGUACUCAUCAAAUACCUUAAAAAAGUCUAAGUAUGUUACUUCUGCACUGUUACCUUUAUCAACCAAACUUGUAAUCUCUUCAAAGAAUGAAAUCAGGUUUGUAUUAGAAGACAUACCUUCCAUAAAACUAUGUUGAAUGUCUCUUAAUUCUUUAUCAACUGAAUCAUGUAUCAAUUUUUGCAUUAUUUCACCUGGAAUUGAGAUCAGGCUAACCAACUUAUAGUUACCCAGGUCAUCCCACUUGCUCUUUUUAAAUAUUGACACAAAACUAGCACUUUUCUAUUCUUCUGGAAUUUUCCAAGUAUUCAAAAAUGUAUUAAAUAUUGAUAUCAGUGGGCCAGAGAUCUCCUCAGCCAGCUCUUUUAGGGCUCUUGGAUUGAAGUUAUCCAGGCCUGCUGAGUUGAAAAUGUUUAUCUCUAGUAUAUGUCACUCUACUCACAUCUUCCUUAGUUACUAAUGAACUAUAAAGUACUUCAGCAUCCUCACGUGAUAUGCUAUUUUAUAUCACGCUCAUCACUGUAGCAUCUGAGCAC